This 423-nucleotide ribosomal RNA is filed under the name uncultured bacterium. Its description in RNAcentral is "bacterial SSU rRNA". It matches the Rfam family "Bacterial small subunit ribosomal RNA", at positions 355 to 776 of the family's 1533-position model. The record is from RNAcentral.
UGGGGAAUAUUGCACAAUGGGCGCAAGCCUGAUGCAGCCAUGCCGCGUGUAUGAAGAAGGCCUUCGGGUCGUAAACCUCUUUUGUCGGGGAGCAAAUUCCGCCACGUGUGGCGGAGUCGAGAGUACCCGAAGAAAAAGCAUCGGCUAACUCCGUGCCAGCAGCCGCGGUAACACGGAGGAUGCGAGCGUUAUCCGGAUUUAUUGGGUUUAAAGGGUGCGUAGGCGGACUGUCAAGUCAGCGGUAAAAUACGGGGGCUCAACCCCGUCGAGCCGUUGAAACUGGCAGACUUGAGUUGGCGAGAAGUACGCGGAAUGCGCGGUGUAGCGGUGAAAUGCAUAGAUAUCACGCAGAACCCCGAUUGCGAAGGCAGCAUACCGGUGCACAACUGACGCUCAGGCACGAAAGCGUGGGUAUCGAACAGG